UACGUAGGGGGCAAGCGUUGUCCGGAAUCAUUGGGCGUAAAGCGCGUGUAGGCGGUCCGGUAAGUCCGCUGUGAAAGUCGGGGGCUUAACCCUCGGAUGCCGGUGGAUACUGUCGGGCUUGAGUACGGAAGAGGCGAGUGGAAUUCCUGGUGUAGCGGUGAAAUGCGCAGAUAUCAGGAAGAACACCAAUGGCGAAAGCAGCUCUCUGGGACGGUACUGACGCUGAGACGCGAAAGCGUGGGGAGCGAACAGG
RNAcentral lists this ribosomal RNA (253 nucleotides) under uncultured bacterium. RNAcentral describes it as "partial 16S ribosomal RNA". It matches the Rfam family "Bacterial small subunit ribosomal RNA", at positions 524 to 776 of the family's 1533-position model. The record is from RNAcentral.